UGAGCAACUCAGACAUUUAUAGAUAGUUAAGAUGGCACCGGUAAGCAUAUAAGCACACAUAGCACAUAUUACUAGAUGCAGGCUUGAAGGCCACAAUUACUUAGAUAAGCGAUAAUUAACCGCACAAGACUUGGCAUAAGUUCUGGUGGUCCUGAACAGUCUGGCCAACUGCCAGGUCCAUCCAGCUGCUUGUAUCAAGGUCUUUUGCUGGGCUGCACUGAUAAGGAACUACUGUCUGUCCUUGAAGACAGGUAUAUAAGACUAAGGGAAUCUUGCGCUCACUUGGAGAACUACCCACCUGUAAUGCGGACGCGUGUUACUGGUUUCUGCUGUUCCCAGAAGAGAGGGUCUCUCCGAAUGACUGCCUGAGUUCUCCCCAGUCAUGUGUGGCAAGGAGACAACCAAGCUUCUCUAAUGACAAGAAAGCCAAGAUCUCAGAGGCGUCUGUUGAAAAUUCUAACUCACUUUUGGGAUUGGCUACUUGGGCCCAUCAGAAAUGUGGACACUUGGGAGAGAAAGCCACUCACAGGCGAAGCUCAUUGGUCCGGCUGUUAUUGUGAUGACCGUGCUUACUCUACACCCUUUGGUCGGCUCAGAUACCAACAAUGAGAUUGGAGGUUGGGACCAGAGUGAUUCCGCAGAGAUGAGAUGGAAAGAGAUCGAAAUAAGAGUAACCUGCCUGACCAUUAACUGUCCAAACAUGAGAGCAAACCUCUAUGGAGAAGGCUAUUUUAGCCACAAUGAAACUGAGUCAAUGACCUAUAUUAAGUUACCAAAUGAAUCAUUUGGUUUGUUAACGUUAGAAUCUACAACGCCCUUUGGCUGCCGCAUACUGUAUACACCUGUAAGCUCUAAGAGCUUACCCAAUAUUGGGAAAGUUGUGCAAAUCAGCAGAGCACAAAGAGAACCUACACUAUUAUACACUGGUUAGCUAAUGCUACAAAAUACUCCUGGAUAGGAGGGCUUGGGUUGAAAAUAAUAAAAGGUAUUGCAUGGUGUGUUUUUAUUAUACUUUGUAUUUAUCUGUGCUACAAAAUUACAGUUUUCUGCAUUCAAAGCUUUGCUAGCUUAAAAAAUAAGUCAUAGUGUAGCGCUAGAAGAGUUUUAAUUAGGUUUGAAUCGGUUCCAGGUGUG
Long non-coding RNA from Pelobates fuscus (common spadefoot toad), 1134 nucleotides. RefSeq lists it as uncharacterized. The record is from RefSeq and is a predicted model, not a curated record. Lineage: Eukaryota; Metazoa; Chordata; Amphibia; Anura; Pelobatidae. The transcript has 3 exons.